CAGGCAGACGGCUACGGAAAAGAGAUACAAAAAAAGGUAUAUAUUAUCCGUUAAUACGUAUCUUAUUUAUUAAAAGUAAAAAUAAAAUAUUCAACUUGGUAUUCCAAACCAUAACACUGUCAGAGCGUCCCCACUAUCCGUAUGUUUUAUCACGAAAGCACAUCUCAGCUUACUGCAAAAUAACAGCUCUGGUGAAUUUUAAAGUGUGAAAACCGAUUUGAUGACUUUUUUUAUAUAUUUUUUUCGAAUAGUCAGGCAAACUUGCUUAAGCAAUAAAUAAAUAAAUGCAUAUUUCAAAUGUAAGAAGAAAUUGCUGAAAUUGGACGCAAUGGUACAAAUAGGUGUCUACUCCUUAGGAAAUCUUUUCCUGGGUUUUGUGGAGACACAAGUAAUUGCUAUUGGUCUCUUAUACUCACUAGGUAGAGGUAGCGUAUUUUAUUUUGCUUUAAAUGUAUACUCUAAGGACCAAAGCAACUUUAGCUCAUUGAAGCAGUGUUGGUGUAUAGAAUACGCCCUUGCAGUUUCUUUGCUCAAUUCUCUGCUCUUUAGGAGUCAAAUGACUUUAUUUAUGCUGCCCUAGCUACACCUCCUCUAGCUGAGAUUUACACACUUUCUUCCUACACACUUCAUGGAAAAGGGGUCUAAUUUUUUAAGGAAAACUUGUAGCAGAUCUCCUAUACUCUGAUCGUGUAUCUGCGCUGGGCGCUUCUCCAUAUUUCCCAGAAGGCGAAAGGGAUUGUAGCUCUAACCCAAACAUCAGCCUAGACUUGAUGAAGGAUUAAAAGUAAUGUUUACUGAUAAAAGUACAGGGUUUUAUACACAGACCCCCAGCCUGGCAUCUCCAUUCAAAGUACAGUAAUCCUGCCCAGGCGCCUCUAUGUCUGGGAAAGAAGCAGGCAGUUGACAUAAAUAACGCCAAAAUACAGUGUACAAAUAUUACACACAACAUUUUUUAAUGUCUGCUAUAUUGGGUUACAAUUAAGAAGUGACAUAUUUAUGGAAUGGGAAAUAAUAACAAAUGCGUAGAUGCAAUUAUUAUUUCUGUAGCAGGUUCAUAAGAGAAGAUAGAAGCAAACGUUUCCAUUUGGAUUGAUGUGAGUCUGGACACAAGGGGUGGUCACAUAGUGUCUCUAUAGAUAUUCCUUAACUCCACCUCUGGCUGAGGCGUGGUAAUCCACAGGUUACAUCUCUAAUGAUCCUGAAGGGUGCAUUGUACUUGCUUGGGGCCAGAAUCUAAUUCUAAGUAAGUCACCAUUUUUCUUACCAGAGACCCCCUGGGGCAGAAGUGUUAUUUUGAAAAAUUGAUUAGAACUGUUAUGUUAUCCCUUUUGGUUUUUAUCUGUUGUUGGUGUCAAUCAUUUUGAUUGUCAUCUAUAUCUUUGUAUGCACUGUGACUAUUUUUUGCUCAUAAUAAAUAUUUUUUUAUUACGUUCUGCCUUUGUCUGGUAAAGAAUCACAUUACCUGAAGGGACUAAUUUGUAUUUUUGCAAUUCCUUAAAUAUUGGGCUAAGUGGUAUUUGGUGGGUUUUAUUAUUGAUUUACCUGGGGGACCAAGGCACCCCAUUUAUAAAUUGUCUUGGUGGUGGCAGCAUUCAAAUAGUAAUAUUUAUAUUAUUAUGUUUAAGUGUGGGUGGUGUUAAAGGGGGAUUUUGUCAUUAUUUCCUGUCUAGUGCAGACAGAUAGUGAACUUUAACCCUUUCACCACCACAACUACGUCACGCACACUCCUGAAGUAGGGUGUGUUCGUGACAAUCUAUACACCAAAACCACCUCAAAAGCAUGGAUUGAGUUUGUUGGAAAUCAGAACUGAAAUACUAAAACUCUAUACAUUGAGACAACCUUAUCCCAUAAGGUUGUCUCACCUUUAGUUGCUUGUAUGCAUCCCUGUUUUAAAAGGAACACACCAGAAACAAAAAUACUUCAUCUGAAAGGGGCGGAGCCUGGCUCUCAGACUGAUCAGACAUUCAGAGCACGAGCUCAUGAAUACCUAGCAGAUUUUGGGGUGCUAAUCUCAACCAGGGGUACAUCCUGCUUCUACUGUGUACUCUGUGGAUAGAGGUCACUCCUACGUCCACGCAGAUACUCCACUGGGAGUUCAAGCAGUCCGGUUGUGGCCUACUAAAGACUGGCCUGGGAAGAGGCUGACGAUCUCCCUGCUUCGUGAAUCUUAAAGCAGUAACCACUGUGCUCCUAAACCCACCUCACCCCCCUUUGGGACCGGUGGGGGUUAUCCCGGUCCUCCACUAGACUGUCCUCAGCGGUCUCUACCGCACUACUCUUGUGCCCACAGGACAUGAUUCAGCUUGCCUGGUUGCCCAAGAUGGCAUCUACCCCACUCACUGACAAGUGGAGCAUGGGCCCAUCGCAGCUAUCUAACAGCCGCUCUGUUGAUUAUAUAUUAUCGCACUUCCAUGACAUCUUCAAUCAUUUUUGGCUGAAAACUCCGACUGCAUCACUGCCUCAGCCUUUGAAGGUCGUCCGGAGUCACACAGAGCCAAAGAAGAGGGGAUCCCCUUGGAGCAUAACUACUGGGCAUUCUCUCCCUCAAGCUACCAACUGCCAUCCUGGGCUGAGAUCACCCAAGGCAAUGUCCUCCGUCAUCGUCCACGCAAGCUAAAGACGUAGAAUAUCCGGAUGGUAAGCGCUGUUAUCUUCUGCAUCUCCCAGCAAAGGGAAAGGCUUGGUACUCUCUAGCUCCCUGAUCUGUGGUUAUCGAAUACUGGCUCCCUGCCUGGCCUUGUGCUGGAGAUGAUCCCUGCCCUGGCACUACACUAUACACAAAAAGCUGAAUUCUUCGAACUGCACCCUACUCCUGCCACUAACAGGGAUCGGCUAAGUGGAGAUCCAUGCUCAUCAUCUGCACAGUAUGCUUGUUUUUAUCUUGUUUUUUUUGGUCUUUCUUUUUGUGUCCCUUAUUCCUUACCUUUUACAUAUGCUUUGAUUGGUGCAGGGGUGGAGUCCCAUCGUAUGGUCCCAGUGGAUGCAGUAUGUGAAGACCUGUGUUUCCAUAUGUUUUCCUCUACCUAUUUACUAUUCACCAUGUCUUACCUCCAGUAUGCUUUACCAUUUCUCUAUAUUACUAGACAUGACUGAGCAGUGUGUUAGAAUCUAUUAUUAAUAUAAAAAGUACAGUUCUACUCUUGAUUUCUCACAUGACAAUGUUAUUUCCCCUAUUGUAUAUUAUCUUGUGAAAUGUCUCUGCAAACAUUCUUGUUAAACUAUGCACUACAAAAAUAAAGAUUAUAAAAAAAGACAAUUUAGAAAAGUGCUGGUUUCGAUAAAACUUAUAAGACAUGGUUGCUGUUAGUCAAUCAACUAGGGAAAUUUUCUCUCUCUCGCUCCACAAAGCUAAUGGAAGUGGCAGACGCUCUGGGCUUCAGACUAUUGUACUAAAACUCAUUGAGAAGCAUUGGAAAUCUGCUACUCUGUGUGGGCUGCUCUAGCACAGAGGCUUCUCAGUGAGAGGCCCUGGACUAGUCAAAGAACAUUCUUGUACAGUCUGCAGACAACAGCUCUGUUGCUGUCACAUGCUGGUUUUUCAUAUACCACCAAAGAAACUUGCAGAAGGGUAUAUGCAUGUUUUCUUUGGGGAUAUAUCUACUAAGUAGUGUGAAAAGUCAAUAUAGCGUUCUUUUAAUUACCAUGAGGUUUGUGAAUUUAAAACAAGCAGUUUGCUUUGCUUAACAUAUCACUUAAAUGACUUUUAAUGUAAUUAUUGUUCAUGUCUGUUCAUUAUUUUAAUUUAGUAGGAAUUAAUAUUAAAAAUAAUAUACUGGUUAAAGAUAGAAGUUCAUAUAACUUUUAUGUGAAACCCAAAUAUAAAGGUAAAAACAUUACAAAUAGAAGUCAUCCUUUUUCUGGGUAAAGAAUGUCGUAAGUAGAUAUAUUUGCACAUCCAUAUGAAAUUGCAGGUUUUUGAAAUUUUAAAGUCAGAAAUUACAACUAUGUAAAUGUCAGACUUUUCCAUCUGUAAUCUGAUCUUCCAACAAACAAAUAUCCAGAGUAAAAACAAAUAGUUAAUUAUUAGGAGCUUUUUAAAUAAAAAAUAAAACCUACAGCACAUUGAUUGCAUGUCUAUACACCACAUCAUAAUGGGCACUCCAGCUGUGUUCAGAGUUACGCUGUCACAUUCUAAAUAAGGACAGUAGGUAAAUAUCGUACACCUGCCAUUAGGGACAGUGAUUCUAAUUAAACUCUAAUUAAAGUUCGCUGCUGCUGUAAGAUUUGCUUGAAUGUUUGUGGUUGCAUCCCAGUGGUAAAAAAGAUUAAUUUGGUCACUUCUAACCAUGCGGUAAAAUAGGAUAUGGCAUAGCAAGAUGUUGAACUUUUAAGCCUACAUUGUUCAAGAAAUGUUUGUCACAAAAUCAAUAAACCUCUCAUGGACAUCAUGAUUUGGGGCUGCUUCCCUUCAGCUGAGUCGAGAGCUCUCAUCAAGAUAGGAUAAUGAAUAGCUCAAGAUAUUUUAUCACAAAACCUUUCCUCUGUCAAAAAGAUGAUGAGGAAUUUCACAUUCCAUCAUGACAAUGACCUAAACUCUUGGAAUUGCAGACCACACACCCAUGGAAAUCCUGCAAAAUUACCAAAACAGACCUGUACACAGAAGACCACUUCACAAUUUGAAUGAACUUUUUCCAAAGGAGAUACAAUUGAUAAUAGAGACUUGCUAACUGUAAUAAAUAUGGAGCCUUGUACAGUCAGAGUGCUGUAGUUGUCUUGUUGUUGAAAAUGUUCCUAACAAUUUCGUUUUUAUUUCUGAAUAUUUAUUUUUUGAAAGUUCACAUCAAAAAUCGAAAAGAGUCUGAUAUUUACAUUUUUUCUGCCUUUACAUUUUGAAAACCUGCAAUUUCACGACAAUGUGUAGACCAAAAAAGAUGCGUUAAACCAGUGGACGUCUACGAAGAGAUGCUGAGCUUGGUUCAGCUUCUCAGUGCCUUGCUCAAUUCUUUUAAGAAGGAAUGUUGCACACUUUAUAGAUGUCAUGCUAACACAGACUGUUGUAGACCUAAACAGGUUAAUCAUGUUUCCAUGCGUUUAUUUUAAUGUAAAUUGGCAAUUUUACAUUGGAAAUAAACAUGCAUUUUGUGUACUUCACUUCACACGUAGAAUAAAAUCCAAGUGUGAGCCGAACUUGUAUUGACUUAGUUACAAGGUUCUUGCCUGUUAUGUCCCAUGUGUAUAGGUGCAUAGCUUUCAAUAAUAUAAUUUGGAGCAAUAAAAAUGAACAAUGCAAUAUACAUAAGGUCAUGCAGUGAUGCCUCCGCAUUGUGUUACAAGCAGAACAAAUCAUAAACCUCAAAGGAGCCAAUAUUUGCAUCCAAUCUUGAUUUAUUAAAGCAUUAAUCCUCCUUUAUAGAUUCAUUUAAUUUAAUAAUUGAUUUUGUUGCCUAAAAAUUAAAUCAGCUAACAUAAUAUAUAAGUUAAUGUGUAAUUCAUGGUAAGGUGCAUCUUCUUAAACUCUGCCAUCUAUAGUCCUAAAAACUAAUUUUGGGGACAUUUAUCUUUCUGUUACUUUAAGAUGCAUACAACAUUAAGUUGUUAUUCUGUGCCAAGUAAAGGAAAUCUAUACACUUUGCUAAAUGAAAACGCAGCAGAUGUAGAAUAAAGAGAAAGUUGGUUUAAAGUCCCUCGGUGACAUCAUUGGCCCAGCUGCUUUAUUGAAAAUUUCCUGUUAUAGAGCGUGACUUGCAUGUUCUAUUUGCAGAUAUGAUGCCACAGAGGGAUUCGUUCAUUUAAUUAGUAAGUUAUGCAUUGCUAGCUAUAAUACAGGGUGUUUCAAAAUUAUGGACCCAAAUUCAAAGAAAUAUUUUUCACAAUGGCAACAUGUGAUUACACCAAAUGUUACAAAUGGUUGAAUGAGUUAUCAAGUUUUCCUAACCAUUUUAUAAAUGCUCCAUAUGCCCUCCAGCUGAUGUUGACCGUACUUUGUCAUCCCAAACGGCUCUCAAAGUGACUUCUUUCAAUGAAGUCACAUUGCCGUGAUUCUGUUUUUUUGAGCUCAUCAAGAUUAGUCGUAAAAAUUGCACAAAAACACAUUCUUUGACGUAUCACACAAGAAAAAAGUCCCAGGGUGUAAUGUCUGGAGAUCUUGCGGGCCAAUAGUGUAGCACCAAGUCUUGGGGUCCCAUGUGACCUAUAAACAUUAAGGCAGUGUGUCCUUUAAAAAAAACUUUUAACCUGAACUCAAAACCUGAAUUAGCAGAGGGCGUAAUGAGGUGGCACGCCGGAAGGGGUGGGGGUGUGGCCGCGCGCUGAGUGAAGAGUGCGGGAGAAUGGCGUCCUAUGCUGACAGCCUUUUUGUAAGACUUGUGUGAACCAGUGCAUACAGCAGUCGGUCAACCUUCGAGUGCCAGACCGCCAAACGACCACUUUGAAUUUCUAGAGAGGAGUCCUGGGAUGGAAGAUUGUAAUACUCGUAUUGAAAAGAAGCUCUUCCUUUCAAACAAUAAGCAGUAAAAAUACACUGGAUGGGUGCCUAACACGCCAAUGGGAGCCAUUACUGCACAUUUUUCUUGUGGAAAAAUUAAGUCAUCAAAAUCUUUAUUAAGAUGUGGAAAGAGACAGUUCUGCAACAUUUCGAGAUACGUUUGCACAAAACACGUUUGCUUUCGGGGAAUUAUGGUUAUUCGCUACAGCUUUGCAUGGAUUCCAUAAUCUCCAUAGGUGCACAUUUUGACAGUUAACUUCACCUCUUAGAUGAAAUGUUGCGUCAUCAUUAAAAAUCAAACCCGAUAAGAGGGGGUUGUCCUCCAUGUUCUUUAACAUUGCAUCACUAAAUUCUACACACUUUCCUUUGCUUCCUGCAUGAAGAGCCUUUGCCUGUUGCAACCGGUAUGGCUUCAUGAUUAAACGUCGCCUUAACACACGUCAGACAAUUAUGAGAGAUUGCAAGUUCUUAGCUGGCGAAAAGUGGAAUGGCUUUGGCUAUACUGAAAACUCUCUUUAAUUCUUCUCAUGUUUUCCUCUAAAGUGUGUGGUCGCCCUGUGCUCUACCCCAUCCGUAAACAUUCUGUUAACUCAAAUUGUCGGUACCAAUGGCGAAUGCUCUUUCGCAUUGCCGGAUCAAUGUCAAAACACCAUUCUCACAUACACACACACUGCUUUGCAAUCACAAAUUCAGACUUACUAAACUUAAGAAUGCAAAACGCCUUGUGUUUUGGGUUCACCAUCUUGCUAAUGUCUAAGGCUAGGGACUGUUUGUGCACUGGGAGAGGAGGCAUCUAGUGGUAAUCAUUUUAAACUCUAUGCCCCACCCUUUCAAGUGGUAAGCAUUUCUGUUCCAUCCUUUUAAAAUACCCUGUACCAAAAAGUAUGUGGUUUUUUUUUUUGUUUAAGUUCUUAGGGUGUUUUUUUGGGGGGGGAGGUAGGGGGGCAAAACAGGUUGUUGUAGUGUCCAAGUCCUCAUAAAGUUAUUGUUGUGGUUUUAAUUUUUCACUUAUUUUUUCUGGUUUAUUAAUAAUUUAGUGAUGAGCAAUAUUAAUUGUUUAAUUGAUGUAAGAAAUUUAGAAACUGCCACAAAUCUUCUGGAAACUGUGAAUGUAUUUUAGAAUGGAUAAUUUUGUGUAUUACCUGGACUAUUUAUUGACUUAAUUACAUGCAAAAAGAUAACAAUGUUAACAUUUUCGCUGUUUUCUCAUCCAUUAACCAUGCUUACUGCUGGUAAAAAAAUUAACAGGUGCUAAAAAUUAAUGAAAAAUUAUAUACUUACUCUUAAACCUUGGCAUUAAUAAUAAAUCCCUGGGUUUAGAUAAAUCCAAUUAAAAAAAAAAAAAAAAUGCUGUAAAAUCUACCAAAUUAUGUUGCUAAUUCCCCCCUCCAGUGGAUUGGAGACCCUUUACCAAAAGGGCUUUAUGCAUUUAAAAAUGGAACGGGGGGAUUCAUGCAGCUAGGCCAAUAAGCAUGGUUACUCUUUGACCUUACACAUCAUGGAUUUGAGAUGCAUCAGUCCAUUUGUAUGCUGGUUAGAGCAUGUGGUAACCUCUAGACUAAUAUAUAUAUAUAUAUAUAUUCACUGCUAUUGUAUUCUGCUGUAAUCAGACCAGUUGAAAAAGCAAACCACCGUUGUUUUGCUGGGUAACCAGUCUAUAGCAGUGAUUGGGUAACCACUGGUCUGUAGCAUUACUGCUGCUCCAGUACAUAGAGACUCUAUAGGGGUCUAUUUCAUUACUGCCAAAACAUGUUUCAUAUGGGUAGUGCUUGGUCACCGAUACUUUAUUCUGCUAAUUUGCUAUAAGUGGAGUGCAAAAUCUCUGUGGUGGGUUAUGUUAAACCCACAAACUGUCUUAGAACUGUGAAACUUGGGUUUGAAUCCUGGUCAGACCACAUAACUCAACUCUCAGAUUGUAAGCAUGUUUGAGCAGGAACGUCUUCAAAAUAUCACACUUAUAUCAUAAAGCGUAGCAAAAUGUGUUGGUGCUAUGUAACUACCAAUAGUAACUUUCUUUGGGCUUUUGAGUUUAAUAUUCUUAAAACAUUUUAAUUGUAACCGCUUUAAUUAUUUUUAUCCUUUCAUUUUAAGGGAAAAGAGCUCUGGAUGAUAGCGAUAAUGAUGGCGAGCCUAAUGAAUAUGACUUGGAAGACAGCUUCAUAGACGACGAUGAGGAAGAGGAUUUUGACAACACUGAUGAAGAUUCUGAUUGGAUGCCAGAUUCAGAAGACAAGGGAAGCGAGGAUGUGAAUUUGCUUUUAAAGGAGGCCAAGAAAUUUGUAAAAGGGAAACCUUAAUAAACCUUACCGGCAUCUCAGUUUUGUUUGUUUUCUAAGUCUUUUAAACACAAGUGCUAUAAUAAAAUACCUACCGCUUCCUCCUUUACAAAACUCCACAAAGAUAUAUUAAUGUCAAUGUCUAUUUUGAUAUAUUUCUAAACAUAGUAUUUUAUAUAUUAUAGUUUCUGGUUCCUAUAUAUUUUAUUUUAUGAGGGAAAAGUUCUCUUGUUAAAAUUUUCCGUGAUGAAACGUUUCAAAUUUCCAAGCAUAUAUUUGUAUCUGAAUGUAAACGUUAAACAGGUUUCUCAUUUUUAAGGAAUGCUGGUGACUGCUUUUAUUUGGCAUGUGAAUAAAUGUUAUUUUAUUUUU
Molecule: non-coding RNA, 9072 nt
Organism: Pelobates cultripes (western spadefoot toad)
Lineage: Eukaryota; Metazoa; Chordata; Amphibia; Anura; Pelobatidae
Source: the annotation of a GenBank genome assembly